GUCCCCAUCGUCUAGUCUGGCCCAGGACACCGGUCUUUCAAGCCGGCAACGGGGGUUCAAAUCCCCCUGGGGAAGCUA
RNAcentral lists this transfer RNA (78 nucleotides) under Deltaproteobacteria bacterium. Its description in RNAcentral is "tRNA-Glu". It matches the Rfam family "tRNA". From Rfam's summary of the family: Transfer RNA (tRNA) molecules are approximately 80 nucleotides in length. Their secondary structure includes four short double-helical elements and three loops (D, anti-codon, and T loops). Lineage: Bacteria; Pseudomonadati; Myxococcota; Myxococcia. The record is from RNAcentral.